AAUGAACGCUGGCGGCGCGCCUAAUACAUGCAAGUCGAGCGAGAAGACGUAGCAAUACGUUUGUAAAGCGGCGAACGGGUGAGGAAUACAUGGGUAACCUACCCUCGAGUGGGGAAUAACUAGCCGAAGGUUAGCUAAUACCGCGUACGCUUCUUGGACUUCGGUUCAGGGAGGAAAGCGAUGCCGAGGGUAUCGCGCUCUUGGAUGGGCUCAUGUCCUAUCAGCUUGUUGGGAGGUAACGGCUCACCAAGGCUUCGACGGGUAGCUGGUCUGAGAGGACGAUCAGCCACACUGGCACUGCGACACGGGGCCAGACUCCUACGGGAGGCAGCAGUAAGGAAUAUUGCGCAAUGGGCGAAAGCCUGACGCAGCGACGCCGCGUGGGGGA
This 388-nucleotide ribosomal RNA is filed under the name uncultured bacterium. RNAcentral's name for it is "bacterial SSU rRNA". It matches the Rfam family "Bacterial small subunit ribosomal RNA", at positions 29 to 408 of the family's 1533-position model. The record is from RNAcentral.